RNAcentral lists this ribosomal RNA (254 nucleotides) under uncultured Singulisphaera sp. Its description in RNAcentral is "partial 16S ribosomal RNA". It matches the Rfam family "Bacterial small subunit ribosomal RNA", at positions 524 to 776 of the family's 1533-position model. The record is from RNAcentral. Lineage: Bacteria; Pseudomonadati; Planctomycetota; Planctomycetia; Isosphaerales; Isosphaeraceae.
GACGAACCGUGCGAACGUUAUUCGGAAUCAUUGGGCUUAAAGGGCGCGUAGGCGGAGCGACGCGUCGGCGUUGAAAGCCCCCGGCUCAACCGGGGAACCGGCGCCGAAACGGCCGCGUCUCGAGGCGAGAAGAGGGACCUGGAACUUCCGGUGGAGCGGUGAAAUGCGUUGAGAUCGGACGGAACACCAGCGGCGAAAGCGAGGUCCUGGGCUCGUACUGACGCUGAGGCGCGAAAGCCAGGGGAGCGAGCGGG